AUUCUCCUAGUUUAACAGGAAAAACAUUACUCUUUCAAAGUAAAAUUAGCGUUCAAGUCCGCUGGAGAGUA
RNAcentral lists this transfer RNA (71 nucleotides) under Vannella croatica. Its description in RNAcentral is "tRNA-Glu". It matches the Rfam family "tRNA". From Rfam's summary of the family: Transfer RNA (tRNA) molecules are approximately 80 nucleotides in length. Their secondary structure includes four short double-helical elements and three loops (D, anti-codon, and T loops). The record is from RNAcentral. Lineage: Eukaryota; Discosea; Flabellinia; Vannellidae.